RNAcentral lists this ribosomal RNA (220 nucleotides) under uncultured bacterium. RNAcentral describes it as "partial 16S ribosomal RNA". It matches the Rfam family "Bacterial small subunit ribosomal RNA", at positions 28 to 248 of the family's 1533-position model. The record is from RNAcentral.
GACGAACGCUGGCGGCGUGCUUAACACAUGCAAGUCGAGCGGUAAGGCCCUUUCGGGGGUACACGAGCGGCGAACGAGUGAGUAACACGUGGGUGACCUGCCCUCAGCUCUGGGAUAAGCCUGGGAAACCGGGGUCUAAUACUGGAUAUGACUCCAUGACGCAUGUUGUGGGGUGGAAAGCCUUGUGCGGCUGAGGAUGGGCCCGCGGCCUAUCAGCUUG